GAUGAACGCUGGCGGCGUGCCUAAUACAUGCAAGUCGAGCGAACAGACGAGGAGCUUGCUCCUCUGACGUUAGCGGCGGACGGGUGAGUAACACGUGGAUAACCUACCUAUAAGACUGGGAUAACUUCGGGAAACCGGAGCUAAUACCGGAUAAUAUAUUGAACCGCAUGGUUCAAUAGUGAAAGACGGUUUUGCUGUCACUUAUAGAUGGUUCCGCGCCGCAUUAGCUAGUUGGUAAGGUAACGGCUUACCAAGGCAACGAUGCGUAGCCGACCUGAGAGGGUGAUCGGCCACACUGGAACUGAGACACGGUCCAGACUCCUACGGGAGGCAGCAGUAGGGAAUCUUCCGCAAUGGGCGAAAGCAUGACGGAGCAACGCCGCGUGAGUGAUGAAGGUCUUCGGAUCGUAAAGCUCUGUUAUUAGGGAAGAACAAAUGUGUAAGUAACUAUGCACGUCUUGACGGUACCUAAUCAGAAAGCCACGGCUAACUACGUG
This 497-nucleotide ribosomal RNA is filed under the name uncultured bacterium. RNAcentral's name for it is "partial 16S ribosomal RNA". It matches the Rfam family "Bacterial small subunit ribosomal RNA", at positions 28 to 507 of the family's 1533-position model. The record is from RNAcentral.